UUUCUGGCGCAGAAGAAAUGACACUGUAGUCAUAUAUCCUCAUCAUUCAAUCAAUUUGAGAUGACGAAGGAAUAAAAUGUAUGAAGGCAGUGUCAUUUCGCUGCACCUGAAA
Molecule: microRNA precursor, 112 nt
Filed under: Picea abies (Norway spruce)
Lineage: Eukaryota; Viridiplantae; Streptophyta; Pinopsida; Pinales; Pinaceae
Description: miR3627j stem-loop (pab-MIR3627j)
Source: miRBase by way of RNAcentral